UACAGAGGGUGCAAGCGUUAAUCGGAAUUACUGGGCGUAAAGCGCGCGUAGGUGGAUGAAUAUGUUGGCUGUGAAAGCCCCGGGCUUAACCUGGGAAGGCCAGCCAAAACUGUUCAUCUAGAGUAUGGUAGAGGAAAGUGGAAUUUCCGGUGUAGCGGUGAAAUGCGUAGAUAUCGGAAGGAACAUCAGUGGCGAAGGUGACUUUCGGGACCACUACUGACAUUGAGGCGCGAAAGCGUGGGGAGCAAACAGG
This 253-nucleotide ribosomal RNA is filed under the name uncultured bacterium. Its description in RNAcentral is "partial 16S ribosomal RNA". It matches the Rfam family "Bacterial small subunit ribosomal RNA", at positions 524 to 776 of the family's 1533-position model. The record is from RNAcentral.